AACGAACGCUGGCGGCAGGCCUAACACAUGCAAGUCGAACGGAUGUAGCAAUACAUUAGUGGCGCACGGGUGCGUAACGCGUGGGAAUAUCCCCUUGAGUGCGGAAUAAUGUCUGGAAACGGACACUAAUACCGCAUAAUGACUUCGGUCCAAAGAUUUAUCGCUCAAGGAUUAGCCCGCGUUAGAUUAGCUAGUUGGUGAGGUAAUGGCUCACCAAGGCGACGAUCUAUAGCUGGUCUGAGAGGAUGAUCAGCCACACUGGGACUGAGACACGGCCCAGACUCCUACGGGAGGCAGCAGUGAGGAAUAUUGGACAAUGGGGGCAACCCUGAUCCAGCCAUGCCGCGUGAGUGAUGAAGGCCAUCGGGUUGUAAAGCUCUUUCAGAUGCGAAGAUAAUGACGGUAACAUCAGAAGAAGCCCCGGCUAAAUUCGUGCCAGCCGCCGCAGUAA
RNAcentral lists this ribosomal RNA (451 nucleotides) under uncultured bacterium. Its description in RNAcentral is "partial 16S ribosomal RNA". It matches the Rfam family "Bacterial small subunit ribosomal RNA", at positions 29 to 523 of the family's 1533-position model. The record is from RNAcentral.